AAUCCAUAGGUUAAUGAGGCGAACCGGGGGAACUGAAACAUCUAAGUACCCCGAGGAAAAGAAAUCAACCGAGAUUCCCCCAGUAGCGGCGAGCGAACGGGGAGGAGCCCAGAGCCUGAAUCAGCAUGUGUGUUAGUGGAAGCGUCUGGAAAGGCGCGCGAUACAGGGUGACAGCCCCGUACACAAAAGCGCAUGUGCUGUGAGCUCGAUGAGUAGGGCGGGACACGUGGUAUCCUGUCUGAAUAUGGGGGGACCAUCCUCCAAGGCUAAAUACUCCUGACUGACCGAUAGUGAACCAGUACCGUGAGGGAAAGGCGAAAAGAACCCCGGCGAGGGGAGUGAAAAAGAACCUGAAACCGUGUACGUACAAGCAGUGGGAGCCCCACCACCAAAGCAUUUGCUGUACCGCGUUGACGGAGCGAAGCGACGUCAAA
Molecule: ribosomal RNA, 434 nt
Filed under: Salmonella enterica subsp. enterica serovar Enteritidis
Lineage: Bacteria; Pseudomonadati; Pseudomonadota; Gammaproteobacteria; Enterobacterales; Enterobacteriaceae
Description: partial 23S ribosomal RNA
Rfam family: Bacterial large subunit ribosomal RNA
Source: RNAcentral